CUUAAUUUGAUAUUUGACUUUUUAUUAAUGUUAUUAUGUCUUCUGCAGUAUCUUUGAGAUGCUGUAUAAUAGUUUUACUGCUUGUAAUGUUCACAAAUUAUUUCUAAUAUAAUAUAUGCUGUCAACGUCUUAGUAGUUCGGAUUUCUUAAGAAAGACUAGGUUACUGCAGACAUGACAUUUUUUGUGUUAAGAAAAUUACUGGUAUUUCAAUAAAAUCGCUUAAAAAUAUUUAUAAAAAAAUAUUCAAUUAUGAAGUGAAAUAUGAAAAAGUCUAAAGAGAAGGCGGAAAUGUUGACCUGAAAGUUAAUUUUUGUGGGCCUUAUCUACAGUGUAGUUGUACUUGUUUCUUAUUGAAAUCACUACAUGGAUAGUGGUCAGUAAUGUUUAUUUAUAGGUAUCAGAAACACAUGGUUGUGUGAAUUUAUACCACUUUAUUAAGAAUUCUUUUUUUUAUUUAAUGAUAAAAUGUAUUGUACAUGUAUCAAAAGUAAAAAUAUAUAAGAUAUUUUUCCAACUGACAUUACUAUUAAUUAAUGUUCAAAACUGAAUAACUGAGAUGAAUUGGGUGUAGACUAAUGCUUUCAUAUACAUUGUAUUGUAACUUUUUUUCUAUAUGUCCCAUUAAGUCAAUUGAAAAUGCAGUAUAUAUAGUCUGGUAUACAAGUCAACUUAAGAUAAAAUCAAACUGGCAUAAAAUAAACACUUGUUGCAUAUUUUUCAUGUCUGUGCCUUAAAUAGCUGAAUAAACGGAAUGGGUGUUUCUCAUUGUUUAAGCCAUACGGUUGCCUAUAAUUGAUUUGAUCAACUUAUUUGAACUUUGUUGGAUAGUUGUCACAUUGGCAAUCAUACCACAUCUCCAUGUUUUUAUAAUAGAACUCAAGUGAUCAUGAUGGUCAGUUUUACCUUAUAUGGUAUGAGUUUGCUCAUUGUUAAAGGCCAUACAUUACCCUAAAGCUGUUAUAAUCAUCCUCCUUUUGUCUCUGGUGGUUGGUUGUCUCAUUGGCAUGUCCUUAUUUUUAACUAUUGUAAACUUGAUUACUAAAUCAGUGAACUAAUUAGGCAUUUUACUAGUGCAGGAGAAUCUAGGAAACACAUUAACUCGAAUAAUUCAAGCCCUUUCCGUGUGAGAGAGAGCCAAUCAGCGGCGAUCAGGAUAUGAGUCUGCGCAACUCUCUUGAAAUUGUCUUACCAAACACGUGUGUUCAAUUAACACAAAUCUGAUAAUAAUUAAUUAACAUCAAUUAACAUCAGUUUACAUCAUUUAACAUCAAUUAACAUCCGGAACUCCUCCUUCUUUAGCUGCCAAUUUAAAUCAAAAUUCCCAUAUUGCAAAGCGGUGUGAAUUUUCCGGUUGACGGUCUUGAUCGAGGAAGACGUUCAGGCGUUAAUGUAGCCUUCGUAGAUCAGCGGAAUAUAACGACUGAAUUAUUCGGGUUAGGAAACACAUUUGUUGACAUUAAAAUCAGAAUUUUAUAGUUAACAUUGUAGUGAUUUCUGUUGUGCUUAGUCUACACCCAUUUAAAGGAUCUGAGAAACAGUUAUUUAUACCCUGUUCACAUCAAAAUCAGAUUCGAAAUUUAAUUUGACAAAGAUACUGAUUUGUGUUCAUACAUAUUCUGGAUUAAAUUCAUAUUUGUGAAUCGGGGGGUCAAAUGAUUUGAAGUAGCUAGUUUGACAUUUGAUUUCAUCUAGCAUCAGAUUUGAAUCUGGAAUAAAUAUAUGUGUGACUGCAUAAUUUAUCUAUCAAAUGCAUGUAUAAAUCUUCAUAUUUUGUGGAAUUUAAUCUAGAAUUACAAAAUAAUAUUAAAUAGAACCAACUUUCAACAAGUGUGAACUCAAACUUCCUUAUAUUUGUAUAUGAUAAACUGAGAUGAACAUCUCAUUUCAUUCUUAUUUAAAUAUAACAUGUGUGUGAAGUUGUGAACAGAGUAUUAGUUAUUUAAUUAAUUGUAAUUAAUCAUUUCAUAACCUUUCCAGAAACCAAUCAGAAUGUGUUUUUAAUGUUAUUUUUAUAUAUGUUAAAUGUGUAGCACGAUAUUAGAUUUUAUAUUUAAACCAUUGACCUCACUGUAUGUACUAAAACCAACAUAUAUCAUUAUUGUGUGUACUGUUAUUGUUAAGUCGGUUGUGAUUACUCUUACAUGGUAACCAUGUAAUUAUUUAAACAUAUUGCCAUAUUUUAUAUGUUUACAAUUCUUUUUCAAUAAAACAGAUUUAAAUCAGUUCUGUUG
RNAcentral lists this long non-coding RNA (2232 nucleotides) under Mytilus galloprovincialis (Mediterranean mussel). Lineage: Eukaryota; Metazoa; Mollusca; Bivalvia; Mytilida; Mytilidae. The record is from RNAcentral.